GACGAACGCUGGCGGCGUGCUUAACACAUGCAAGUCGAACGGAAAGGCCCUGCUUUUGUGGGGUGCUCGAGUGGCGAACGGGUGAGUAACACGUGAGUAACCUGCCCUUGACUUUGGGAUAACUUCAGGAAACUGGGGCUAAUACCGGAUAGGAGCUCCUGCUGCAUGGUGGGGGUUGGAAAGUUUCGGCGGUUGGGGAUGGACUCGCGGCUUAUCAGCUUGUUGGUGGGGUAGUGGCUUACCAAGGCUUUGACGGGUAGCCGGCCUGAGAGGGUGACCGGCCACAUUGGGACUGAGAUACGGCCCAGACUCCUCCGGGAGGCAGCAGUGGGGAAUAUUGCACAAUGGGCGGAGGCCUGAUGCAGCAACGCCGCGUGCGGGAUGACGGCCUUCGGGUUGUAACCCGCUUUCGCCUGUGACGAAGCGUGAGUGACGGUAAUGGGUAAAGAAGCACCGGCUAACUACGUG
This 468-nucleotide ribosomal RNA is filed under the name uncultured bacterium. RNAcentral describes it as "partial 16S ribosomal RNA". It matches the Rfam family "Bacterial small subunit ribosomal RNA", at positions 28 to 507 of the family's 1533-position model. The record is from RNAcentral.